AUACGUAGGGGCCAAACGUUGUCCGGAUUUAUUGGGCGUAAAGGGCUCGUAGGCGGUUCAACAAGUCGGUCGUGAAAGCCCGGGGCUCAACCCCGGGACGCCGGUCGAAACUGUUGUGACUAGGGUCCGGUAGAGGUGAGUGGAAUUCUCGGUGUAGCGGUGAAAUGCGCAGAUAUCGAGAGGAACACCAUUAGCGAAGGCGGCUCACUGGGCCGGUACCGACGCUGAGGAGCGAAAGCGUGGGGAGCAAACAGGAUUAGAAACCCCGGUAGUCC
Molecule: ribosomal RNA, 275 nt
Filed under: uncultured bacterium
Lineage: Bacteria
Description: partial 16S ribosomal RNA
Rfam family: Bacterial small subunit ribosomal RNA
Source: RNAcentral